This 1678-nucleotide long non-coding RNA is filed under the name Elaeis guineensis (African oil palm). RNAcentral's name for it is "long non-coding RNA (EGUI_LNC016079)". Lineage: Eukaryota; Viridiplantae; Streptophyta; Magnoliopsida; Arecales; Arecaceae. The record is from RNAcentral.
CAACUGGGAGGAAAUUCCUUACGCUCGUAUCAUUGAGACCCUACGUAGGGGUUCUACAUGGCACCUUGUCAGCAAACUCUUGGCAUGGGUACUAUUACAUCUACUAUUCCUAUAGUUGGAGCAGGAAACGAGAAGCUGUUUGCCUCCAGUGAAUCGUUGUGCAAUUUCAAACAAGAGCAGAGCUACACUGUAGGUGCCAGAGAAGCCACUUGCGAAUGGCCCAGCAUCCAUAAUCAUGUAAGCGGGCGUUGGGAGGACUGGCACUUGGGACAUGGCCCGAUAACUGGCAAUUCAGCCUAAGGUCAGGCUGCACUGCACUUGGUCCAAUGCAGUUCUCCCAUGUUCUCAGGUAUUAUUUAUUUGAAGAUUUGGAGAGAAUUAGAAAGAACUCAUAUACGACUGUGUCGAUUAAUGCUUAUUAUAAAAUGCUAUGCAUACCUCACAUAGGUUUUGGAGUACUUAAUCUGCCAUGUGGUAUUUGCAUAAUCUCUUCCAAGGUCAGUUUAGAUUUUUCAAAGAUGCAUCAUCCAAGAAUCAAAUCUAAAAGUUCUGAUUGUUAAGCCAGUACAGGACAUGGCUCGCUUAUUUCAAACAAAGAUAAAGAUGGAGCAAACGAUCAAUAGUUCGUAUGCGCUCACACCAAUGUUGCAAUAUAUAUGUUAUGAAGUCCACUGUGAAUUAACAACAUAAUUUAUAGACAGAAAAGUAUACAGCCUAAUGAUCUAUAAUUUUUUUCUUUUUUGAGUAUUACAUUUUGUAAAAGUGGACUCUUCUCCAUGUUCUUACUGAAACCUUCGCUCAUCUUCAUGAACACUUAACCUCUUUUCGAUAUGCAGAAAAAAACUUGAGUUGGAUCAUGUUCACCAGCUCCAUAGUGGAUCAGUUCGAUCAUCGAGCAACAUAUGCAACGACAUCUGUAUUGCACUAUUUUCCCUCCAAUUUUUUUCUCUAUAUUUGCGUAUGUUUCUUUGUGGUGGGAUUGUGUCACCACUGGGCUGGUGGACUUGGUCCAACCAAUAACAAUCAUGAUAUGGAGAGCCCAUCAAAAGUUAUGACUCUUUGUUUUUCUAUUUAAAAAGAGGAAUUGAUGCAUGGCUUGGACCAAAUAACAGGAGCCAACCCUGGCGCAAGCCAGCUGGCUGACGGGUGAGAUUGGCGCAUAGGAAUGCGUGUAGAAGGGAAAGGGUUGGUGGGUGGGGUGUCAAGCGGGACGAGCUUCUUGGCUGCCAUCCCGUACACACGCCUCGAGGCCAUCUCUGUCAUGCUCCCUCGUAAGCCAGAGAACGGUGUAAGACUGUUCACAUGAUGAUGGGUGGAUGCAUACGGAGAAAAAGAAGAAACAUUACACAUGUCAUGUCUUGUUGAAUCGACGGACCCAACUCAUGAACUCAAUCAGGCCGGCCCCGAAAUCCCGUAUUGGCAACCCCACCUCGGCCUUUGCUCACGCCUUCCUACUUUGGCUGCCUACUGGCUAGCAUGGAAGAGAGAGAGAGAGAGAGGGAUGGUUACAGUGAGCGGGAACCUACCAUGAUGAGUCCAUUUCAAAAGCUUAAUUUUAACUGCAAUAACAUUGGAUCUAUCUAUGAUAUUACAUCCAUAGGGUGUCACGGGAGGAGAAAAAGGAGAGCACCAACACACGUGAAUGGGAGCACCAACUGUGCAUGGUUUUUUUUUGGGA